RNAcentral lists this ribosomal RNA (484 nucleotides) under uncultured bacterium. RNAcentral's name for it is "partial 16S ribosomal RNA". It matches the Rfam family "Bacterial small subunit ribosomal RNA", at positions 30 to 507 of the family's 1533-position model. The record is from RNAcentral.
AUUGAACGCUGGCGGCAGGCCUAACACAUGCAAGUCGAGCGGAUGAAGGGAGCUUGCUCCUGGAUUCAGCGGCGGACGGGUGAGUAAUGCCUAGGAAUCUGCCUGGUAGUGGGGAAUAACGUCCGGAAACGGGCGCUAAUACCGCAUACGUCCUGAGGGAGAAAGUGGGGGAUCUUCGGACCUCACGCUAUCAGAUGAGCCUAGGUCGGAUUAGCUAGUUGGUGGGGUAAAGGCCUACCAAGGCGACGAUCCGUAACUGGUCUGAGAGGAUGACCAGUCACACUGGAACUGAGACACGGCCCAGACUCCUACGGGAGGCAGCAGUGGGGAAUAUUGGACAAUGGGCGAAAGCCUGAUCCAGCCAUGCCGCGUGUGUGAAGAAGGUCUUCGGAUUGUAAAGCACUUUAAGUUGGGAGGAAGGGCAGUAAGUUAAUACCUUGCUGUUUUGACGUUACCAACAGAAUAAGCACCGGCUAACUUCGUG